This 870-nucleotide ribosomal RNA is filed under the name Triticum aestivum (bread wheat). RNAcentral's name for it is "partial small subunit ribosomal RNA". The record is from RNAcentral. Lineage: Eukaryota; Viridiplantae; Streptophyta; Magnoliopsida; Poales; Poaceae.
AUGGAAGCAUUGAAGAAAGAGAGUGAGGAGGCAUGGAAGUGGUUGUCCAACAUACCAGUCCAUACUUGGGCCAGGCAUAGAAUGGAUACUGUAUGCAAGACAGACCUUGUUGUAAACAAUCUUAGUGAAGUUUUCAACAGGAUGAUUCUGGAUGUUAGGAACAAGCCCAUAAGGACAAUGCUUGAAGGAAUUAGGACAAAACUCAUGAUCAAGUUUCAGAAGAUUAGGGAGAAGACAGAGACAUGUAGGUGGGAUAUCACACCCACUUACUCUGAGAUAUUGGAGGAGGCCAAGAACUGGGCAAAAUAUUGUGAUGCAUAUAUGGCUGGACCAGGCAUUUGGCAAGUUACAAGUAGUUCAGAAAAGACCUACUGUGUAAACCUAAACAACUACACUUGUGACUGCAGGAGGUGGGAUAUGACAGCUGUUCCAUGUAGUCAUGCUAUAGCAGCAAUGCAGAAGGUGAAGCUAUACCCUGAAGAUUUUGUCCAUGAGUUCUUCAAGAAGCCCCUCUACUGUGAAACCUACAAGCAUAUUAUAUACCUUGUUCCAGGCCCUGAUUGUUGGCCACACACCAUGGGGGAUGACAUAUCUCCUCCAGUAUUCAAAGAAAAGAAGGGUAAAAAGCAGACAGCUAGGAGGAAAGGACAUUUUGAGGUGCCUGCCAAGGAUACAUCAAGAAUUGGGACAGUGACUUGUAGCAAUUGCAAUAAGCAAGGUCACAGAUAUACCACAUGUGGUGUUCCACUGAAACCCAAACUGCAGAUGAGAAAGAAUAAUCACCAGGUAUGGUUAUUGAUAAAGAAAUUUCUGUUUCGUAGGCUAGGUGAUUUAAUUCUAAUUUGCUUUGUUAAAUGUGCAGGAGAAUAG